UACGGAGGGUGCAAGCGUUGUCCGGAUUUAUUGGGUUUAAAGGGUGCGUAGGCGGUCUUUUAAGUCAGUGGUGAAAGCCUCCAGCUUAACUGGAGAAAUGCCAUUGAUACCGGGAGACUUGAGUACAGACGAGGUAGGCGGAAUUGACAGUGUAGCGGUGAAAUGCAUAGAUAUUGUCAAGAACACCGAUUGCGAAGGCAGCUUACUAGACUGUAACUGACGCUGAGGCACGAAAGUGUGGGGAUCAAACAGG
This 253-nucleotide ribosomal RNA is filed under the name uncultured bacterium. Its description in RNAcentral is "partial 16S ribosomal RNA". It matches the Rfam family "Bacterial small subunit ribosomal RNA", at positions 524 to 776 of the family's 1533-position model. The record is from RNAcentral.